This is a long non-coding RNA of Monodelphis domestica (gray short-tailed opossum), 1726 nucleotides long. The record is from Ensembl. NCBI's taxonomy places the organism in Eukaryota, Metazoa, Chordata, Mammalia, Didelphimorphia, Didelphidae.
CUUCUUCUUCUUCUUCUUUGUCUUUCUUCUUCUUCUUCUUUGUCUUUCUUCUUCUUCUUCUUCUUCUUCUUCUUUCUUCUUCUUCUUUGUCUUUCUUCUUCGUCUUUCUUCUUCUUCUUUGUCUUUCGUCUUCUUUCUUCUUCUUCUUCUUCUUCUUCUUCUUUCUUCUUCUUCUUCUUCUUCUUUCUUCUUCUUCUUUCUUCUUCUUCUUCUUUCUUCUUCUUUCUUCUUCUUCUUCUUUCUUCUUCUUCUUUCUUCUUCUUUCUUCUUCUUCUGUCUUCUUCUUCUUUCUUCUUCUUUCUUCUUCUUCUUCUUUCUUCUUCUUCUUCUUUUUCUUCUUCUUUCUUCUUCUUUCUUCUUCUUCUUCUUCUUUUUCUUCUUUCUUCUUUUUCUUCUUCUUCUUCUUUCUUCUUCUUCUUUCUUCUUCUUUCUUCUUCUUCUUUCUUCUUCUUUCUUCUUCUUCUUUUUCUUUUUCUUUUUCUUCUUCUUCUUCUUCUUCUUCUUCUGUCUUCUUCUUCUUUCUUCUUCUUCUUCUUCUUCUUCUUCUUCUUCUUCUUCUUCUUCUUCUUCUUCUUCUUCUUCUUCUUCUUCUUCUUCUUCUGUCUUCUUCUUCUUCUCCUUCUACUCCUCCUCCUCCUCCUUCUCCUCCUCCUCCUUCUUUUGUUUGAUAGCUUUGGAAUUUGGCAAUUACAUUCCUGGGAGUUGUCUUUUGGGGGUUUAGUGUAGAAGGUGUUCUGUGAGCUCUGUCAGUGGCUGUAUUGCCCCCUUGUUCUAGAAUCUCUGGGCAAUUUUCUUUGAUUAUAUCUUGUAUCACCAUGUCCAGUUUGGUGUUUAUUUCUGGCUUUUCUGGGAGUCCAAUUAUUCUUAAAUUAUCCCUUCUCCCCCUAUUUUCCAGAUCUAUCACCUUGUCGGUGAGAUAUUUUAUGUUCUCUUCUAAUUUCUUGGUAUUUUGGCUUUGCUUUAUUGAUUCUUGCUCUUUUACACGAUCGUUGUCUUCCAGCUGCCUGAUUCUGGCCUUUAAAGCCUGGUUUUCUUUUACAGUUUGGUCAAACUGGUUUUGUAGAUGCGUGAAUUUCUUUUGCAUUAUUUCCAACUUUUCCUCCCUGAAGGCUUCCAUCUUUUUGGUCAUUUCUGAUUCAAAUUCUUCAUAGGUUUGUGGAGAGUUUCCAUUUCCUUUGGAAGGUUUUGGAGCAUUUUCUUUUAUAUUAUCUUCUGUCUGCUCUGUAUUUUGUAUUUUGGCUCCAUAGAAUGUGUCCAAAGUCGCCCCUUUCUUCUUAUUUUUCUUGGUAUUUUGGGGCUUCUGUGGUUCUGUGGAGUUUGCCAUUUCUGAAUGUGGAGGAUUAGUUUUUCUUGUCUCUGUCUGGUGUUCAGAGGCAGUCCUGGGCAGAUGGUUCUAUGAGCUUUCCCUGGGUUAAACUGAAUAUGCCUCACUGGAACUGGAAUGGAAGGGUCAGACCACGAGGCCACACUCUCCCCCCGGCUCGCUUUCCGGAAGUUGCCUUCAGAAUCGCUGGCCGUGAGGCUGUUUCGUCAGCCUGCAGGGGGAUGGGCUGCAGCUAGCCCAAGCUCUGAGGGCGAGGACUUUCACUGAGACUUGGAUAGCAGGAUCCAGCCCGUGAGGCUGUCUUGCCCGCCCUGAGGGUUGCUGUUGUUUCGACCAGCUCUCUGCAGAGGAAGCCCCAGGCAGUAACUUUCACCGGGACUGUAGAAGGCCUGAGGGUUCUGC